ACGCUGGCGGCACGCCUAAUACAUGCAAGUCGAACGCAGUAGCAAUACUGAGUGGCAGACGGGUGAGUAUAAUGUGGGUAUCUGCCUUUUGGUUUGGAAUAACUCGGGGAAACUUGAGCUAAUACCGAAUAAGCCCUUACGGGGAAAGAUUUAUCGCCGAAAGAUGAGCCCGCACUUGAUUAGCUUGUUGGUGAGGUAAAAGCUCACCAAGGCAACGAUCAAUAGCUGUUCUUAGAGGAAGACCAGCCACAUUGGGACUGAGACACGGCCCAGACUCCUACGGGAGGCAGCAGUAGGGAAUCUUGCACAAUGGGGGAAACCCUGAUGCAGCGAUGCCGCGUGAGUGAAGAAGGCCUUUGGGUUGUAAAACUCUUUCGUCGGGGAAGAAAAUGACGGUACCCGAAUAAGAAGGUCCGGCUAACUUCGUGCCAGCAGCCGCGGUAAUACGAAGGGAUCUAGCGUAGUUCGGAAUUACUGGGCUUAAAGAGCUCGUAGGUGGUUAAAAAAGUUGGUGGUGAAAUCCCAAGGCUCAACCUUGGAACUGCCAUCAAAACUUUUUAGCUUGAGUGUGAUAGAGGAAAGUGGAAUUUCUAGUGUAGAGGUGAAAUUCGUAGAUAUUAGAAAGAACACCAAAAGCGAAGGCAACUUUCUGGAUCACUACUGACACUGAGGAGCGAAAGCAUGGGUAGCGAAGAGGAUUAGAUACCCUCGUAGUCCAUGCUGUAAACGAUGUGUGCUAGACGUUGGAAAUUUAUUUUUCAGUGUCGCAGCAAAAGCGUUAAGCACACCGCCUGGGGAGU
This 800-nucleotide ribosomal RNA is filed under the name uncultured Pelagibacteraceae bacterium. Its description in RNAcentral is "bacterial SSU rRNA". It matches the Rfam family "Bacterial small subunit ribosomal RNA", at positions 33 to 881 of the family's 1533-position model. Lineage: Bacteria; Pseudomonadati; Pseudomonadota; Alphaproteobacteria; Candidatus Pelagibacterales; Candidatus Pelagibacteraceae. The record is from RNAcentral.